UACGUAGGGUCCGAGCGUUGUCCGGAAUUACUGGGCGUAAAGAGCUCGUAGGUGGUUUGUCGCGUUGUUCGUGAAAACUCACAGCUCAACUGUGGGCGUGCGGGCGAUACGGGCAGACUUGAGUACUGCAGGGGAGACUGGAAUUCCUGGUGUAGCGGUGGAAUGCGCAGAUAUCAGGAGGAACACCGGUGGCGAAGGCGGGUCUCUGGGCAGUAACUGACGCUGAGGAGCGAAAGCGUGGGGAGCAAACGGG
RNAcentral lists this ribosomal RNA (253 nucleotides) under uncultured bacterium. Its description in RNAcentral is "partial 16S ribosomal RNA". It matches the Rfam family "Bacterial small subunit ribosomal RNA", at positions 524 to 776 of the family's 1533-position model. The record is from RNAcentral.